This 878-nucleotide ribosomal RNA is filed under the name Microsphaeropsis olivacea. Its description in RNAcentral is "partial large subunit ribosomal RNA". It matches the Rfam family "Eukaryotic large subunit ribosomal RNA", at positions 68 to 964 of the family's 3401-position model. Lineage: Eukaryota; Fungi; Ascomycota; Dothideomycetes; Pleosporales; Didymellaceae. The record is from RNAcentral.
ACAGGGAUUGCCCUAGUAACGGCGAGUGAAGCGGCAACAGCUCAAAUUUGAAAUCUGGCGUCUUUGGCGUCCGAGUUGUAAUUUGCAGAGGGCGCUUUGGCAUUGGCAGCGGUCCAAGUUCCUUGGAACAGGACGUCACAGAGGGUGAGAAUCCCGUACGUGGUCGCUAGCCUUUACCGUGUAAAGCCCCUUCGACGAGUCGAGUUGUUUGGGAAUGCAGCUCUAAAUGGGAGGUAAAUUUCUUCUAAAGCUAAAUACUGGCCAGAGACCGAUAGCGCACAAGUAGAGUGAUCGAAAGAUGAAAAGCACUUUGGAAAGAGAGUUAAAAAGCACGUGAAAUUGUUGAAAGGGAAGCGCUUGCAGCCAGACUUGCCUGUAGUUGCUCAUCCGGGUUUUUACCCGGUGCACUCUUCUAUAGGCAGGCCAGCAUCAGUUUGGGCGGUUGGAUAAAGGUCUCUGUCAUGUACCUCUCUUCGGGGAGAACUUAUAGGGGAGACGACAUGCAACCAGCCUGGACUGAGGUCCGCGCAUCUGCUAGGAUGCUGGCGUAAUGGCUGUAAGCGGCCCGUCUUGAAACACGGACCAAGGAGUCUAACAUCUAUGCGAGUGUUUGGGUGUCAAGCCCGAGCGCGUAAUGAAAGUGAACGGAGGUGGGAACCUUUCGGGGUGCACCAUCGACCGAUCCUGAUGUCUUCGGAUGGAUUUGAGUAAGAGCAUAGCUGUUGGGACCCGAAAGAUGGUGAACUAUGCUUGAAUAGGGUGAAGCCAGAGGAAACUCUGGUGGAGGCUCGCAGCGGUUCUGACGUGCAAAUCGAUCGUCAAAUUUGGGCAUAGGGGCGAAAGACUAAUCGAACUAUCUAGUAGCUGGUUCCUGCCGA